GAUGAACGCUGGCGGCGUGCCUAAUACAUGCAAGUCGAGCGAACAGACGAGGAGCUUGCUCCUCUGAUGUUAGCGGCGGACGGGUGAGUAACACGUGGAUAACCUACCUAUAAGACUGGGAUAACUUCGGGAAACCGGAGCUAAUACCGGAUAACAUGUUGAACCGCAUGGUUCAACAGUGAAAGACGGUCUUGCUGUCACUUAUAGAUGAUCCGCGCCGCAUUAGCUAGUUUGUAAGGUAACGGCUUACCAAGGCAACGAUGCGUAGCCGACCUGAGAGGGUGAUCGGCCACACUGGAACUGAGACACGGUCCAGACUCCUACGGGAGGCAGCAGUAGGGAAUCUUCCGCAAUGGGCGAAAGCCUGACGGAGCAACGCCGCGUGAGUGAAGAAGGUCUUCGGAUCGUAAAACUCUGUUAUUAGGGAAGAACAAAUGUGUAAGUAACUAUGCACGUCUUGACGGUACCUAAUCAGAAAGCCACGGCUAACUACGUG
Molecule: ribosomal RNA, 496 nt
Filed under: uncultured bacterium
Lineage: Bacteria
Description: partial 16S ribosomal RNA
Rfam family: Bacterial small subunit ribosomal RNA
Source: RNAcentral